This is a long non-coding RNA of Oncorhynchus mykiss (rainbow trout), 1467 nucleotides long. RefSeq lists it as uncharacterized. Lineage: Eukaryota; Metazoa; Chordata; Actinopteri; Salmoniformes; Salmonidae. The record is from RefSeq and is a predicted model, not a curated record.
AUUACUGCCACUUUUAGAUUCAAAGAAGACCAUCCUCACUUGGGGAAUACUGCUUUCCAGUUAGCUUUGCGACAGUAUCAAAAAUACAUUUUGGAUUGUUUUUAUUCUCCUCAUUCAGGUUGAAAAAGUAGGCUGAUUGAGCAGCAGUUGAGGGCUCCUCGAUAUUGCACAGUACUGUCUUUCCAAUAACCAGUAUACAGUAUCAGUUCUCUAUGUUUGAAAAGUACUAUGAAGCUGUGGCUUGGAGUAUUGCUUCUCCAUCCCAUAAAACUCCAUCGCUUACUAGGCAUCAAUUAGCUAACAUAAUUUAUUUGUUUAUUGGGAAGUUUAAAUUAAUAAGUUAGACACUCAUCAUACAACUUUGUUAGGUAGGUCAUUUGGUUUCCAUUUCCAACAAAUGUUUCUUCUUCCACAGACUUUCUGGUCUUGGAACUGGUCUUGGAACUCCUGUGUUCAACAGAAACAACUUCUGUGGCUUAUUGUGGGCCAUUCUAUCAAAGCUGAGGAUGAUUGCUACUGCGUAGUCAUGGGGACACUAGACCUACAUUUUCAGUUUUGUUUUUAACGAGUCACAGCCAAGCAUGCCGCAGUCACCCGGGUCAAAAUUUGCGAGUGAGGCAUCCUGGUCUGUGCUGUGAUGUGCGACAACGACAUAAAGGACUUGGACCUGACUGAAUCGAUGAACUGAUAGUUGUUUAUUGUACCGCCACGUCUAGGUGUAACAAAGACAACUAAUGAGACAACGCCCUUGGAGAGAGACCAAACCUUCUACUGUAAUGACCUCAUCAGACGCAAGCUACCUUUUGAUGCCUCGUCGGGAAGAGAGAGCCUCUCCAAGAGUGUGUUAGCAUGACCAAACCUUCUACUGUAAUGACCUCAUCAGACGCAAGCUACCUUUUGAUGCCUCGUCGGGAAGAGAGAGCCUCUCCGAGAGCGUGUUAGCAUGACCAAACCUUCUACUGUAAUGACCUCAUCAGACGCAAGCUACCUUUUGAUGCCUCGUCGGGAAGAGAGAGCCUCUCCGAGAGCGUGUUAGCAUGACCAAACCUUCUACUGUAAUGACCUCAUCAGACGCAAGCUACCUUUUGAUGCCUCGUCGGGAAGAGAGAGCCUCUCCGAGAGCGUGUUAGUAUGACCAAACCUUCUACUAUAAUGACCUCAUCAGACGCAAGCUACCCUUUGAUGCCUCGUCGGGAAGAGAGAGCCUCUCCGAGAGCGUGUUAGCAUGACCAAACCUUCUACUAUAAUGACCUCAUCAGACGCAAGCUACCUUUUGAUGCCUCGUCGGGAAGAGAGAGCCUCUCCGAGAGCGUGUUAGUAUGACCAAACCUUCUACUAUAAUGACCUCAUCAGACGCAAGCUACCCUUUGAUGCCUCGUCGGAAAGAGAGAGCCUCUCCAAGAUGUUUGAAGAGCCUGCCUUUGUAAUAAUGAUUUAUAAUUCUCUUGGUCUGAAGCAAAAAUUGGC